This is a long non-coding RNA of Leopardus geoffroyi (Geoffroy's cat), 2891 nucleotides long. RefSeq lists it as uncharacterized. The record is from RefSeq and is a predicted model, not a curated record. NCBI's taxonomy places the organism in Eukaryota, Metazoa, Chordata, Mammalia, Carnivora, Felidae. The transcript is spliced from 2 exons.
CCGACGCGGGGCUCGAACUCAUAAGCCGUGAGAUCAUGACCUGAGCCGAAGUCGGACACUUAACCAACUGAGCCACCCAGGUACCCCCCUAUCACUUUCGAAGUAUAUGACCUUGCAUGAGUGACUUAGCCUCUAAGCCUCAGCUUCCUCACCUGCAAGAAGAGAGAAGGUGCUGUAAGAUGUUGAAAGGGAAGAGCCAGGGCUUUUCGCAGCCGGGGGCAGCCAAGGAGGGCUUCCUGGAGAAGGUGUGGAUGCUAGCAAGUGGGCACGAGGUAGGGAGGCAGACAGGAGAGAGAGAAGGCCGCGAACAGAGGCCAGGGUAGAAGAGUUGAGGAAGACCACAUAGAGAGAAAACAGAGAAUAUGUGGAGUGUGGGAGAAAUCGUGUACGAGGUAAUACAAAGAAGGUUUUUAUUAUAAACCCUUUUCCUACUUGUUUUAUGAGCUCCUCGAUGUCAAAGAGUGUCAGAUGAAUGAAGCUGAGGUUAGCAACAUGUAAUGGCUAAUUGUGGCUACCAUAGAAAGCUAGCACCAGCCUGUUGGGACUCUACAGAUAAUGUCACAUCACUGAAAGUUCUGGAGCCGGGAAUGACAUAAUAAGAGCUGUGGUUGGGAUCUGUGCAGUGGAUUAGAAGCCAGAGGUCCCUGCCCUGAUUCCCAGUAGAUGGAGAGCUUCUGAAGCUGUGCUGCCCUCCACCAUAGCCACCAACCACAUGUGGCUGAUUAAACUUGAAUUCAAUUGGAAUUAAUAAAAUGGCAGAUCUCAGUACGUCAGUCACCCUCCCCACGCUUCAAGUGUUCAGAAGGUGCCUACGGCUGCUGGCCUCCCUCGUGCGGGUAGAGAGCACGUCCGUUCUCUGGCAGGGACACUCUGAGUACCUAGCGUAGAGUCAGGCGUGCAGUGGGGCCCCAGUGGAUGUUGUGUGGCUCGGCGGGGACGCAGGGGGCCAGAACUGCAGUGGUAACUGAGGAGCUGGGGAAGAAGGGACCUCCGGAAGGGUUGGGACCCAGCAACCCAUGAACGUGGGACAGGACUGCGUACCGAAAAGAAAGGGCAAAGGACCUGGGACAGUUGAGAUAAUCUGUCCUUGGAAUUUUUGCGUUGUUUCAAAAACAUUUCCUCCGGGUGCCUGUUAUUUCUGGCUGGCUUGGUUGUCUUUGCUGCCACUGCAUUUCCAGCACAAUGCAGCCUUUGUAUCUUCUGCCCUCCUAAGGGGGCUUAGGUCCCGGUAUCCCAGAUGUACAGGGGAAGAUAGCACCAGCUCGAGCUUCCACGGGCGGGGCCUGAGGGCUCUCGGGGGGCCGUGAGGGACCCAUCCUGAGGUCUGUAGAGCCAACUCCAGGCGCAUCAUUUGCAGUCUUUCUUACACUGGAGAAGGGGAGGGGUCGCGGGGGGAAAUAAUCCUGCUUUUGCGAACUUGCUGGUGUAUUGCUGGCAGGAGCCGCUCGCUCCUACCCGUUGACAUGAAGGAGAGCUGUGUAGCUGGCCUCAGAGAAUGUCUCUUGCUGUCUGAAAUGCUUUCGGACAUUCCUUCUCUCUGAGAAAAGCCCACGCCUUCCAGCCAAACAAUACAGGCCUCGGCAGCAGAGACGUUUGUCCUGGGCCCUGCCAGCAUCUCUUGCCCAUGACCCCAUUCCCUCAGUAGACCGCCCCCGAGCUGGAAUUUCCCUGUCCUCAGCAUUCUGUGGAGGAGAGCAGUUUCGGAGCUCUCGCGGGCACGUGUGGCAGGUGAGCCACUGAAGAAUGCUGUUUGGGGCCGAGGCCCUGCCAAGCUGCGCUGCGGAGCGCAAAGGGAAAACAACAAGGCCUCGGCACAACUUCGGGGUGACCUUCAAACAUGAGUUCAAAAUGGGGGAAGAGCGGAUAGUAAGUUUUCCAUCCUUCCGUCUUCAUACACUUGGCUUUGCCGGGAAGAGGAUCUGUGUCCGUCCAGCUUUGCCCACCGCUUCCGGCGCCGCAGGUCGGGCACCCCUGCCCUCUGAGGCAGGUGUCCUGCGGGGAGGGUGCCGAACUUGGAGCCUCUUGGCUGAGUUCUGCCCCUUCUUCGACCUGUGGCCACAGACAAGUCAUUCCUCUUCUCUGUCUUGAUUCUUCCAUCAGAAGAUUUAAAUUUUAAGGUUAAGUGAAAAAAUGGAGGGGCAAGGGUUUCUUGCCAGUUAGGUAACCUUCUGUGUUCUCGCCUGGAAGAGGAGUGUAAGAAUGCCUGCCUGGUCUCCCUCGAAGAGUUUCAUGAAGGUCAAGUGACUGACAUUAGUCAGAGUGCUUUGUCCACAGCACAGCUGAUCACAGGGCUGAUCUGUCUUUUCUGUUAAUUGUUAUUUCAUCUCGUGACUCAGGGCCGCCUUUCUGAAAACUGUAGAGCGCCAUUCAGGUCGAAGGUAUCAUUUAUUUAUUUAAAAUAGCACACAUUGAGUGCCAUGGGCUUACCCAUAAGCAUUCAGGUACCGAGAACUCAUUGACAGGUUGACGGCUCAACUUUAGGCCCAACGUUUGGUUCUUAACUUCGCAAUUUCUGAAGCUUGAAUUUAUUAGUAUGCUCGGGGAUGGUCAAGUUCUGCGAAACCAACUUAUGCAAACCAAAGUUACAAGGAACUGACCUAUAAACCAGAAUAGACAUUUAUGAAUUCACAGGAGGGCCUUUUACAACAGAGACCAAAUCUUCCUCCGUUCGUUAUGGAGCAUGUAUAACGUGAUCUUCCUACUCUCCUGCUGCCUGCUCCUCUUUUCCGUGUUUACCGAUUCUACGAGGCCCAACCAGGUCUCAUUUCCUCCAGGGAGAUGUCCUUGAACCCCCCAGGCUGGGCUGGGGGUCCCUCCUGCCAUGUACAUCCAUGUGUGCAUAUGUGUAUGCACACACAGGACCCUAUACAUCCCUCUACUGUGGAACCCGC